AUUGAACGCUGGCGGCAUGCCUUACACAUGCAAGUCGAACGGUAACAGGUUAAGCUGACGAGUGGCGAACGGGUGAGUAAUGUAUCGGAAUGUGCCCAGUCGUGGGGGAUAACUGCUCGAAAGAGCAGCUAAUACCGCAUACGACCUGAGGGUGAAAGCGGGGGAUCGCAAGACCUCGCGCGAUUGGAGCGGCCGAUAUCAGAUUAGGUAGUUGGUGAGGUAAAGGCUCACCAAGCCGACGAUCUGUAGCUGGUCUGAGAGGACGACCAGCCACACUGGGACUGAGACACGGCCCAGACUCCUACGGGAGGCAGCAGUGGGGAAUUUUGGACAAUGGGCGCAAGCCUGAUCCAGCCAUGCCGCGUGCGGGAAGAAGGCCUUCGGGUUGUAAACCGCUUUUGUCAGGGAAGAAAAGGUUCUGGCUAAUACCUGGGACUCAUGACGGUACCUGAAGAAUAAGCACCGGCUAACUACGUG
RNAcentral lists this ribosomal RNA (477 nucleotides) under uncultured bacterium. Its description in RNAcentral is "partial 16S ribosomal RNA". It matches the Rfam family "Bacterial small subunit ribosomal RNA", at positions 30 to 507 of the family's 1533-position model. The record is from RNAcentral.